Molecule: ribosomal RNA, 429 nt
Filed under: Gemmatimonadota bacterium
Lineage: Bacteria; Pseudomonadati; Gemmatimonadota
Description: Gemmatimonadetes bacterium partial 16S ribosomal RNA
Rfam family: Bacterial small subunit ribosomal RNA
Source: RNAcentral
UAGGGAAUCUUCGGCAAUGGACGAAAGUCUGACCGAGCAACGCCGCGUGAGUGAAGAAGGUUUUCGGAUCGUAAAACUCUGUUGUUAGAGAAGAACAAGGACGUUAGUAACUGAACGUCCCCUGCCGGUAUCUAACCAGAAAGCCACGGCUAACUACGUGCCAGCAGCCGCGGUAAUACGUAGGUGGCAAGCGUUGUCCGGAUUUAUUGGGCGUAAAGCGAGCGCAGGCGGUUUCUUAAGUCUGAUGUGAAAGCCCCCGGCUCAACCGGGGAGGGUCAUUGGAAACUGGGAGACUUGAGUGCAGAAGAGGAGAGUGGAAUUCCAUGUGUAGCGGUGAAAUGCGUAGAUAUAUGGAGGAACACCAGUGGCGAAGGCGGCUCUCUGGUCUGUAACUGACGCUGAGGCUCGAAAGCGUGGGGAGCAAACAGG